This 397-nucleotide ribosomal RNA is filed under the name uncultured bacterium. Its description in RNAcentral is "partial 16S ribosomal RNA". It matches the Rfam family "Bacterial small subunit ribosomal RNA", at positions 523 to 918 of the family's 1533-position model. The record is from RNAcentral.
AUACGUAGGGGGCGAGCGUUGUCCGGAAUGACUGGGCGUAAAGGGCGUGUAGGCGGCCGUUUAAGUCUGGAGUGAAAGUCCCGCUUUCAAGGUGGGAAUUGCUUUGGAGACUGGUUGGCUUGAGUGCGGACGAGGUAAGUGGAAUUCCCAGUGUAGCGGUGAAAUGCGUAGAGAUUGGGAGGAACACCAGUGGCGAAGGCGACUUACUGGGCCGUAACUGACGCUGAGGCGCGAAAGCGUGGGGAGCGAACAGGAUUAGAUACCCUGGUAGUCCACGCUGUAAACGAUGAAUGCUAGGUGUAGGGGGUAUCGACCCCUCCUGUGCCGGAGUAAACGCAAUAAGCAUUCCGCCUGGGGAGUACGGCCGCAAGGUUGAAACUUAAAGGAAUUGACGGGG